RNAcentral lists this ribosomal RNA (484 nucleotides) under uncultured bacterium. RNAcentral's name for it is "partial 16S ribosomal RNA". It matches the Rfam family "Bacterial small subunit ribosomal RNA", at positions 30 to 507 of the family's 1533-position model. The record is from RNAcentral.
AUUGAACGCUGGCGGCAGGCCUAACACAUGCAAGUCGAGCGGAUGAAGGGAGCUUGCUCCUGGAUUCAGCGGCGGACGGGUGAGUAAUGCCUAGGAAUCUGCCUGGUAGUGGGGGAUAACGUCCGGAAACGGGCGCUAAUACCGCAUACGUCCUGAGGGAGAAAGUGGGGGAUCUUCGGACCUCACGCUAUCAGAUGAGCCUAGGUCGGAUUAGCUAGUUGGUGGGGUAAAGGCCUACCAAGGCGACGAUCCGUAACUGGUCUGAGAGGAUGAUCAGUCACACUGGAACUGAGACACGGUCCAGACUCCUACGGGAGGCAGCAGUGGGGAAUAUUGGACAAUGGGCGAAAGCCUGAUCCAGCCAUGCCGCGUGUGUGAAGAAGGUCUUCGGAUUGUAAAGCUCUGUUAGUUGGGAGGAAGAGCAGUAAGUUAAUACCUUGCUGUUUUGACGUUACCAACCGAAAAAGCACCGGCUAACUUCGUG